This 467-nucleotide ribosomal RNA is filed under the name uncultured bacterium. RNAcentral describes it as "partial 16S ribosomal RNA". It matches the Rfam family "Bacterial small subunit ribosomal RNA", at positions 28 to 506 of the family's 1533-position model. The record is from RNAcentral.
GACGAACGCUGGCGGCGUGCUUAACACAUGCAAGUCGAACGGAAAGGCCCUGCUUUUGUGGGGUGCUCGAGUGGCGAACGGGUGAGUAACACGUGAGUAACCUGCCCUUGACUUUGGGAUAACUUCAGGAAACUGGGGCUAAUACCGGAUAGGAGCUCUUGCUGCAUGGUGGGGGUUGGAAAGUUUCGGCGGUUGGGGAUGGACUCGCGGCCUAUCAGCUUGUUGGUGGGGUAGUGGCUUACCAAGGAUUUGACGGUUAGCCGGCCUGAGAGGGUGACCGGCCACAUAGGGACUGAGAUAGGGCCCAGACUCAUACGGGAGGCAGGAGUGGGGAAUAUUGCACAAUGGGCGGAAGCCUGAUGCAGCAACGCCGCGUGCGGGAUGACGGCCUUCGGGUUGGAAACCGCUUUCGCCUAUGACGAAGCGUAAGUGACGGUAAUGGGUAAAGAAGCACCGCCUAACUACGU